GAUGAACGCUGGCGGAAUGCUUUACACAUGCAAGUCGAGCGGCAGCGCGGGGGCAACCCUGGCGGCGAGCGGCGAACGGGUGAGUAACAUAUCGGAACGUACCCAGUCGUGGGGGAUAACUAUCCGAAAGGAUAGCUAAUACCGCAUACGUCCUGAGGGAGAAAGCGGGGGAUCGCAAGACCUCGCGCGAUUGGAGCGGCCGAUAUCGGAUUAGCUAGUUGGUGGGGUAAAGGCUCACCAAGGCGACGAUCCGUAGCGGGUCUGAGAGGACGACCCGCCACACUGGAACUGAGACACGGUCCAGACUCCUACGGGAGGCAGCAGUGGGGAAUUUUGGACAAUGGGGGCGAACCCUGAUCCAGCCAUUCCGCGUGAGUGAAGAAGGCCUCGG
This 391-nucleotide ribosomal RNA is filed under the name uncultured bacterium. RNAcentral's name for it is "bacterial SSU rRNA". It matches the Rfam family "Bacterial small subunit ribosomal RNA", at positions 28 to 420 of the family's 1533-position model. The record is from RNAcentral.